AAAAAAAACGACUUACAACGUAGAGAAACAAUGUGUACAUAACUUCAGAAGUGUAGGGAGAUGCAUGCAAAGAGUCAAAGAAAAAGAAAGGAGGGCGGGAUAGCACUAGAAGUGAUGUAUGUUUAUUUUUAAAUUGUAAAUCUUUAAUGGUACACAACAGUACCUUCACUGAGCUUGACCCCCAAUGUUUAGUACAUUGCUUGGCACAGAGCUGGUAAUGUUUGUUAAACGUUGAAUGAAUUGAGGCCGGUGGAAGUUUAGAAAGUAAAGCCUGAGCCUCUUUCUAUUUGAGAACAGAGAAGUAAAGAUUCGUUGUUCUCCAUAUUCUAGCCUCUUUAUCAGAAUUUGCAUUUCUUAUUCACUGACCUUUUCCUAAAAUCAAGUUCGGUCAACUUUCACGGCGUUCUCGGUGGCGCAGUCUCCCGGAGCAGUCGGGAAACUCCAGGUUUAAAUUUAUACUCCCCGUUGUCCCUGUUCUUUAAGUACGCUAGUCCCGGUUCUUUUUCGGAGCUCCCUGGACACCUGCUCUUCUGACGGGUAGCCGGGUCAGUGAGAGACUACAACUCCCGGAAGAUGACGUCAAGGAGAAAAAUCCCGUGGUUGCGUGGGGAGGGAGAGGCAUGAAGACUCGCGAGAGAACGGGGUUGAGGCGGCUGCGCGGCGGGGGUGGGCGCAGAGAGUGCGGAGGAAGGGGAGGAGGUGCCUUCCCGCAAUAGCAGGAGUGGGGCGGUGGGCGCUUCGAAUCGGGGUUGUGAGGUGCUGGGCGCCUCCGCGGACCUUGAUGCCUCUGUGUCUUGAACGCGAGAGGCAGCGAUGCAGAGGGUGGGAAAUGGCAGAGCUGCAGAUAUUACUAGAGGAGGAGAUUCCGUCUGUCAAGAGGCCGCUGAUAGAGAGUUACCAGAACCAGACCCGGGUGGCGGACUACUGUGAAAUCACCUGCACACAGACGGAGAAGAGGAAGCGCGUGUGGAGUGAGAGAGGGAAGACAUGAAGUUAAUCGCAAAAUUCUUUUAGGAAUACUUGUAUUUGCUGUAUUUUCAAUAUAUAUAUGGUUUCGGGAGGAGAUUU
Non-coding RNA from Manis javanica (Malayan pangolin), 1068 nucleotides. NCBI's taxonomy places the organism in Eukaryota, Metazoa, Chordata, Mammalia, Pholidota, Manidae. The record is from RefSeq and is a predicted model, not a curated record.